Sciurus carolinensis (gray squirrel) is the source of this 1391-nucleotide long non-coding RNA. RefSeq lists it as uncharacterized. Lineage: Eukaryota; Metazoa; Chordata; Mammalia; Rodentia; Sciuridae. The transcript is spliced from 3 exons. The record is from RefSeq and is a predicted model, not a curated record.
ACUCAGGGCCUUGUACGUGCUAGGCAAGCACCCUACCACUGAACUACAUCACCAGCCCAGUCCAAAACGUACUAUUUUUUAACAAGACACUUUAAUAUCUUUGAAGUUGGGAAGCGUCUUAAAUCAGUGGCAUCUUUCCACUGUCAUUGGCUAGGCAGCCACCAUGGUACCUUGCACCAGCUUGGUCAUACCUAUUCAUAUUUCCAUUCAUAAUGAGGUACACUGUUGGUUUAAAUGUGAUCUAAAAUGUCUUCAAAAUGACCACACUGGUUUAGCAUAUAACAGAUACAGCAUUCUAAAAACCUGUUACAGUAAGUAUAAAAUAAUCAUAAGUUUUCAUGAUGCAUUUUUUGUAGUUUAAUUGGCAGCAUUUUAUGAUACAUAUUUUCAGUUGACACAUUGUUGAUUUGUGAGAGCUCCUUACAUUUAGGAAAUUAACCAUUCUGUUAAAUACAGCAUGAAUUAUUUUCUUCAGCUUCCUCUGCCUUUCAGUAUUGUAAUACUAUUCAUGGGUUUGUUGGUAUUGUUUUAAUGAAGGGUUUUGAGGAUCGAUGAGACCAAGAACAAAGGGCACCUAUCAAUACUGAGUUGAUUGAAUUCCUGAAAAACCAAACCACAAGCUCAACAUCAUAGAUUUUUUUUCCCCCCUAAAUCUUAUAUUGUGCUACUAUUUCUGUGCAUUUUCUUACCCUAACCUUUUUCUGUUUGUGUUAGCAUUUCUUACAGGCAGAAUAAGGGCUUUCAACUCACUCUGAUUGAAGAGGUAGUGGAGGAAGGAAGGCUAAGAUCUGGAGGGUACUGGAUAGGUAUCCUUGGUCAAAAAUAUUCCCUUUUGCUCUCCAUAUACCCUUUAAAUCAAAUAGGGUGACAUUUGUUUUGCUUUAUUUAAAAAAAAUUGAAGUAAAAUUUAUAUUCAGUAAAUUGCAAAGAACUUAGGUGUUAAAUUUGAUGAGUUUUGAGAGAAGUGUUUUAACAUCAAAAAGUUUUAGAAUUUUAUCAUUUUCUUUGACAGUUUCAUCAACCUUCAGAUGUAUACCCUGACAAUGUUUUCACAUUAUGAAGAUGAAUUUGAAGGCCACUGAUAUCUUAAGCAGAGAUGGCAGUCUUGGGCAUGUCAAUUUGUAAACCUGCUGAGACAAGGUGACAAGGCAGUGACUGGCCAACCUACCAAGAGCCCUGAAGUUCAAGGACAAAAAGGUUGUUUUUUUGGUUUAUUUGGUUUUUUUUUUUUUUUUGUAAACCCGAAAGAAAAAUGAGCCCAUCAGCACAUAGUUAUAAUAUUUAUAUUUGUAUUAACUCUUAAUCUUUUAGCUGAUUAGUGGAGGCAAAGAAGAGCUUUUAUCACCAUGUCCUUCAAAUUCAUGUUUUUCCCUGUUCGUGCAAUAAACACC